RNAcentral lists this long non-coding RNA (33253 nucleotides) under Arabidopsis thaliana (thale cress). RNAcentral's name for it is "long non-coding RNA (ATHA_LNC000268)". The record is from RNAcentral. Lineage: Eukaryota; Viridiplantae; Streptophyta; Magnoliopsida; Brassicales; Brassicaceae.
CUUAAAAUCAUCAGGUGGAGAGUCUUUCCCAAAAGCAUAUUGGGAUAUCAUCUUAAGAGCAAGACCUUGAGAUGGCAGCUCCACCUCAUAUACAAGGUCAAUCUCAUGAGCCUUGAGAAGUUGCUUAUCUUGAGUGAUCACAAUUAUUCUGCUUCCAGAACCAAACCAUUCAGCUUUUCCCACCAAGGUCUUAAGAAACUCUAGAUUAUCCACAUCAUCAAGAAGGAUAAGAACUUUCUUGUGCUUUAACCUUUGCUCCACCACACCAAAAUGAUCUAUCUUUAUGUCCUUUUGACCUAAGAUUUCCGAGAGAAGUUCUUUUUCCCAACUCAACUUCAUGCCAGAGACGUCACUACCACUGGUGCUUUUAUAAGUUAUGAAAGCGCGAUGGUGGAACUGGCUAGAGAGUUGACUGAAAAGAGCUCUUCCUAUGGUACUCUUACCAAUCCCUGACUGUCCCCAAAUCCCGACCAUUAUUCUAGCUUCCUUGGAUUCCAAGCAAAGUAUUGAUUUUAUUGCCUUUAUAUGAUCUUCAAUUCCGACGAAGUCACCAAAACCCUUUGGCAGAGGAAAAAGUUUAUUCGAAACAUCAUUGGCUAUCUUUUUAACCAUAAACGCUUCAGUAGGCCUAAUAACAAUAGUCAAUUGUGUCAAUAGAGAGGCACCCUUAAAAGCACAAUCGAAGAUUCGAAGUCAACGCAAGAAAAAAAAACCCAGUCUUAUAUAAUAAAGUAAGGUUUUCUCGAAGUCAUGCUCUGAGAAUUUGAUAAGUCGCACUCUAUUCUUUCGAUAUGUGUAAUUUUUUUAAUUUUUAUUGCUUCCAAAACUGAAAUAUACCAUAAUCAUUUUGCAUUAAAUUUAAUUAUAAAAUAUUUUGUUUUUGAAAAAAUAUAAGUAAGAAAUUUUAAAUUUAUUUCUAAAUUAAUUUUGUUUUACUUUCAAUCAUUAAAAGCAAAUAUCAAAGAUUAUUUUCAUGAUAUAUAACAUAUUUUCCUACAGUUUAUUCAAAAAAUGAAUUUAGCAUAAACAAUGAAUAAAUAAUUUAUUCUAAUUUUCAAAACAAUGAAAAUAGAAUAAAUAUUAAUUCUAAUUUUAUUAUUUGAUGAUGUAUCAUUUAUCAAUAUAUAAAUAAUACAGAUGCAUUAAAAUAUGAUUUGUCUUUUUAUUUUCUCUCAUUUUAUAAUAUAAUAUUUACACAUGCUUUUAUUAAAUUAUUUACUAUAAAUAUUAUCAUACCUAUCUUACUUUGGGAUUGUCUUUUAAUAAUUUUUAAUAUUUAAAUAUUUAAAUAAUAGAAUUGCUUUUAAAAAUAUGAUUUCAUAAGAAAAUAAAUUUGAAAUAAAUGUAAAACUAACCUCAUUAAAAAAGACUCAAAUGACUAAAAUCAAUGAAAUGUAAAGUAAACACCAAUGAGAAAAAGAAAAUUAGGGUGAUUGAGUGUCUCAUGUAACGUUUUAAAAAAAAAAAAAUUGUUACUCAUGUAACGUUUGUGUUGCAAACGUUUUUGAACCAAUUAUUAACAUUUAUGCUGGAAAUAAACACAUGAAUUAGUUAUACCCUAAAUAUCUACUUUUCUGAUAUAAAUAGCAAAUAUAUAUACUAUUUUUUAUCACACACAAGUAUUUUUAUUUCCUUUAACAAUUGACGAAAAAUGGAAGAUGGCUUGCGGUAUUAACAACGUUUACGGCAAGAGUCCCUGUCUUUCAAUUUCUCUCCUUCAUUUAAGGUUUGGACUCGUAUUAGCUCUCAGAUUUCGUUUUCUUUUUAAGUUUUUGUGAAUGAUUUCAUAUUGUUUAAUGUUUCUAAAAUGGUUAUAUUGAAUCUUACUUACAUGUGUUUUUUUCCUGUUUUUUUUUGUUCUGAAUUUAAUUCAAGAUAUUUUUGCAUCUUUUAGAAAAAGUUUUUUUUUUUGUUUUGUAGGCAUCAAAUGCACUUUAAACCAUUUAAAUGGAUAUAAGAUAAGAAGCUAGCAGACUAUGGAUAGCAUAGUCAAUUGCAAGAGAAAGUAAGGAUCAAGGUUUUGAUCAUUCAUAAAAUACAAAAUUUGAUGCAAGUGAUUUAGUUAAUCUCGAUUAAUGGUGGAGCGAUAACAAUAGGUAUGACCAUACUAAUUAUAUAACUAUUUAUUUCUCUUUCCAACUUAAAUAUUUCGAGUUAAAUUUUAGUAUAAUAUUUUUUAUUUUUGUUAAUAAAAUUAAAUUCUAAUUAUAUGUAGUUUCUGUUUAUAAUGUUUUGAAUUUUAAAAUGAGAAUUAUAAUUUGUUCACCCAAUAUUUCUAUAAAUAGUUACCAAAUUUUGUUGACAUAUAUGUUCUUUAAAACAACAUUUCAGUAAUUUUGUUCAAUCUCAUCUUACUCUACAUCAAUUUGCGUUGGCAUCCAAAUUGACAAAAAAAAAAACUUAAAAUUGUGUUCAUUUUUUAGCAUAAGGAAGCUCAAUUCUCAGCCUCUAAAGAAAACAUGAUCAACAUUAGUUCACUCAUAUGAGGAAAAUUGUUUAAUCUUUUUCUAUCAUUACUUAUAUUUAAUGACUUUUCCAAUAAUUGUUUUCAAACCUAUAAGUCAAAAUAUUGAAAGACUCAUAAUACAAAUAACAAAAAUCUAUGCCUAUAAUACACAUUAAAAGUUAUAUUUAGGACCAAAUAAUUCAUAAUAAAAGACUCUAUUAUAUAUAAUGAAGCAAAACAAAAUUAAAUUCUUUUAUAUGAGUGACAUAUUGAAAUGAUUUAGGAUUUUUAUUUUUCAAGUUUAUCUUUUCUUAAAUUUUAAGAUUUUUUAUAUGAGAGUAUUUGAGAAGCCAUCAUGUGCGACCUUUUAUCUAUAUCCUUAAUUAUAUUUGAAAUUUAGGUUUAAUUAUAUAUUAUAUCAAGACAAAAUAAAAUGUGUCUUACGAAAUAUGAGACAAAAUGUUUUAUAUAUUUUGGGUAAACUGUUAAUUUCAGUAAAGCAAGAUUUAUAAAAAGGAUAAUGAUGUUUAAAAAAAUAACUUUUUAUACAAUAGCGCAUUAGAUCAAUGUCGAGUGGUGUGCUUGAAAUACGGUUUAUUAUACCUAGGACGAAUUUGUUGAGUCUCUUAAAAAGGGCAUUGGUUUGUUUGUAAAGAAAGUGUAAUAGCUUGAUAAAAUCUUGCAUUUCUCUCAAACAAUAGAUGAUGAUGAUGAUGUGAAACAAUGAAAGUGUGUAAUUUAGAAGUUAGGAGAUCAUUUUAGUUUUUUCAAUAACAUAAAGGUCGUCAGUUGAUUUUGAAAAUCAGGACUUACCAAUAUAUCAAUUUUGUCGAUUAAAAAACCAAAUCUUGAGUAGAUAUUAUUUAUUGUGAAAGUAAAAAUGUAAUAUGUCAUAUUGACAUGCUAAUUGAAACUUUAAUUAUAUAUUUAUUAAUAAAUUAUUUUACACCACAUGAAUUCAUAUAAAUUAUAACAAAAGAAAAACAAAUUUAAUGAGUUCAAAAUCAACAAAACAUAUAACACUUAUUUCAAGCUACCCAUAUUGUAGAUGCUAAUAUAAUUAUAUUCCAUAAUGAAAUUGAAAUUUUUAUUCAAAACAAAAUUAAUUUGCUCUCUUUAACUGAGAGUAAUUCCAAAUAUUUUUUGAAAGCUUUAUAAACAACUAAUUUAUGUAAUAUGAUAUACACAAUAAAAAAUUUGUUUUUAAAUAGCUAAAAAUAUUUCAUUAUGUAAAUUUUAAAAUUAUUUCAUAUUUUAUAUUAAUUUUAAACCCACGCACAUUUUCUAGUUUUGCAAUAAUUAUAAACACUCAUAGAAAUAGUGGAAUAAAUAAAACAUACCCGUUCCGAAGAUCCUCCCCGGCUAAAUUUGAUAUAUCUGUGAGAGCUUUAACCCAUCUUUGUUUCUGAUCCUCUGGUUUGUCCUCGCAUGUCUUUUUAAAGACAUCGCCAAAGCCACCGAUCUGUUUUCUAACAUGAGAAGGAUCAACGCCGUAGAAAACCGGAAUCACCAUUUGUUCCCCUUUCUUGUAACACUUGUGGAUCUCCACCAAUUCAUUCAAGCACCACGUUGAAGAAGCAUAGUUCUCAGAGAAGAUGACUAUUGAGAUCCUCGCUUCUCUAAUGGCCGUUAUAAGCGCAUCGGCGAUUAUGCAGCUUCUCACGAUGCCGUGAUCCAUGAAUGUAUUGAUUGAUCUGCGGUCGAGCGCCUCGAUUAGAUGGCUGAGGAACGUUUUGCGAACAUCUACCCCACUGAAGCUUGGGAAAACGUCGUAUCUCCGGCUACUAGGAGAAGAAGAAGAAGAAGCCAUGGGAGACGAUAGAGGGAACUCAGAGAAGAGACGAAGAUUUUUAAGAGAAGUAAAUCAGCAAGACAUAGUGUGAGAAAGAGAGGAGAAACUUCGUCUUCCUUCCCUCCAAGACUUGCAUAGAAGACUUACUGUACAAGAUAUUCUUUUAAGUGGCUAAAAUCAAAUCUCCUAACAAGACAAUUGAGACGUAAAUAAUAAAGAAACUCGGCCCUUCCUUUCCUCGAAAGCUUUUUUACACUACAUACAAAGAUAUUUUUGAAGAUUGAAUUUUUGUGGUUGUCACUGAAUUAUGAUAAGUCUUAGUCUUUGUACAAGACAGAAAUAAUAUUUCAAUUUCUAGGCAAGUAGACAGAAACUUACAUUCGUUUCCUCUACAAAGAUAUUUUGAAAACACAAAUUUUGUGGUUAUCAGUUGUCCUUGUAUAUAAUGAAAGAAUAUGCGGAAUUGUAGCAAAGAGUAAGAGAAUUAUGAAGAACAAGAGAGUUGGUAUAUGAGUGAGAAUGACCAAAUCAUAUUGAUAGAAUUAGUUAGUAACCUUUGUGUGUUUACAAUGUAUUUAAAGACACACAAAGGGAAUAUGACCGUUUACAAUUAACGUAAGACUGAAAGAGACAUGAGAGAAGAGGUUCCUUGGUCUUGAUGGUGAGAGCGACUGGUCCUUGGUUGACCAUGUCGCUAAAGACACUCGUGAGUCCUCUUCAACGGCUACAAGAGAUAUUUGUGCGCCUUCACUCUUUCUAGAAGCUCUCCAUAGACUUCUCAUGUGUUCGGCCCAACUCCUUGUAGCACAUACCCAAUACUAGGCCUUUCUCCUUAUUUGUACGGAUGAAUCUCUUAUUGAAUCUUGAUCAAUAUAUAAUAUACGUAUGAAUUACCUGGACGCCUUCCCAUAGCUUCUCAAGCUUGUUGUUACAUCUCACUGUGAGGUCUUUGAGAUGUUCUGGGCGAAAUUUACUUGGAUUACAUCUCCUAAGGCAAUCAAGAUAACCGAGUCCAGGGAGAUUCUUGUUCCAUAAACAAUCUGCUACCUCGAUGUCAAUUUCUCCUCUGAAACUGUGCAUAAUAAUCUCAGGGAAAUUUCUCAACUUGGGGCAUCGUAGGAGAUUGAGGUACUCAAGAGAUUCCGAGUUGAGAGGAGUUGGAAAACUUUCUAGCACUUCGCAUUUACAAAGAUCUAGUCUCUCGAGGUUUGUGGCUAAAGAAAGAUCUGGAAUUUCUUUCAAAUAUUUGGAAUUACGCAGAAUCAUCUUCUUUAGGCUUCCAAGUAACUGAAAACAAGGAAAGAGAGAAUAACAGACGUUCGUAAACAUUUCAAAAAAUUCAUUUAAUUUUUUGAACAAAUAAAUCAAUAAACAUAACACAUUUCUGUUUUCAAAUUGACAACAAAAACAAUAAAAAAUUAGUACCUGAGUUCCAUUCCACAGCUUCUCAAGGUCACUAUCCUCCAUUAUGAGUUCAACCAGAUACUCAGCCUUAAAAUUAGAAGGCAAACGCUUCAAUGGACAAUAACGCCACCAUAGGCAUAUGAUGUUACUUGAAAUCUGAGGGAAAAAUCUCAAACUUGAGCUUCCAUCACUAUAAUCCUGAGAUGGAGACACAUUCAAGAGAUAUUUUUGAAGAUUGAAUUUUUGUGGUUGUCACUGAAUUAUGAUAAGUCUUUGUACAAGACAGAAAUAAUAUUUCAAGUUCUAGGCAAUUAGACAGAAACUUACGUUAUUCGUUUCCUCUACACAGAUAUUUUGAAACACACAAAUUUUGUGGUUGUCAGUUGUCCUUGUACAAGACAGUUUAUCGUAAGAAUGUACUUAUGAUUGUUUAAUAUCAAAGUCUUGUUUCCCAAUACAUACAUGCACAUGGAUUAGGAGAAUAAGUAUAUCGAUUAUGAGGAUUUUAAUUCAAAUAAUACAGUGAAAAUACUAAUUAACACUAACUCUCUAGUUUGCUAAAUUACUCUUUUAGUUUUCAAUAAUUGUAUUAUUAGUUUAAAGUUUGGCUUACUGCGUCAGCAACCACUGUAGGCUGCGAUUGCAUUUGCUGUAUUGUUUAAGGAGCAUUUGGUUUCUAAGGGUUUCAUGUACUGGAUGGAAGAACUCGUGUCUGAGAACAUCCUCUGCGCUGGUUCGUUGCCUCGGGUUAACGGUCAAACAUCUAUCCACGAAGUCAAGGAGCGGCCGUGGGAUUGCGUCUAGAAACUCUCUGCGUUUGUGUUGAGUUCACACCAUUUUCUCAACUCCAGCCCCUUCAACGUACAAUUCUUGAAACAACAACACAAAAAUCUAUGUGCAUUCAAUUCAUCUCUCACGAUCAUCUAUCAAAUCACUUUAUCAGUAAUUUACAUUUUAAAGUUAUAUCAUGUUCUGGACUAACAAUGAAAACCAUUUUAUUUGAAUCCAUAUGCUGGCGGCAAAGAAGAACAGAGCAUUUGUAUUAUGUCACACAAAUUCAGCAAUCAAGUGAAUGGAGAGUUUAUAAGGGAGGUAAGAUGAGAUUUUACCUCAGGCAAAGAGGUUUCACUAUUGUGCAGCUUGGCUACUUCCCAUAAGUCUUCACUGCUUCGUAGUUACUCAAUGUCCUUCACGUUCCUAGGAAUCACAAGGUCGUUGUAAGACGGCAAGAAAGAAAAAAGAGUGGAAUCGACUGAUGGUGUAUUAUGUUUUUAUUAUUAUUAUUAGGUCAUUGGUGCAAUAUCUGAAGCAAACCUGCACAAACCAAUUCAGCUAAAAGAAGCACCAGAGAAAUUAGCUUUCACAUCCUAAAUGUGACAAUGACUAGCUCACUUGAGCUCAGGGUCGUGGUGGAGGUCGGUGAGUGGGACGGGUGGAAGCUGGUUUGUAUGUAUGGGGCUGUGGUGGUGGUGCGUUAUGUUUUAAUCACUGUUUUUUUACUGUGAGUGUAGGAAACGCCACGGUAGCAGUGAUGCAAUUGUUGCUGAUGAGGUUGCUAUUUAAAAAUUUAGUUCCAACACUUUUUUGCUGUUGAUAAUUCUCUUGUGAAAUACAUUUUUCUUUACCAAAUUUAUUCAUUGAUUUAAAGAGAGAAAAAUAACCUUUGGUAACAUACACGUAGAGAGAUAUGUGUGUUUCAAAAGACAAGUGUGGAGAAAGUUUGAACCUUUAACUUGUUUCUUGCGGAAUCUCUCACUAUCACUCAAAGAAAUUUGGAUCUCUCGUGUGUUGACUUAGAAAAACGAAUGAAGAAGAAAUAGAAAGAGCACACACACACCAUUUAACGAGUUCACGUUUCCAAACCGGAAACGCUACAUCUCGCCGAGAUUGUACUCGGAAAUCCACUAGAAAGCUUGGUUUCGGUUACAUAAACCCUAGAGGCGAACUGGACACUCCCAGCCGCCUCACCUAAACCCCCAUCUAGCUCUCUUCUUGUUGUCUUUUAGGGUUCAGCUUGCCUCCUCUUUUAUAUGCAGGGUUCUCCUCUUUUUCUUCACCCUCGCAUGCUCUGUUUUCCCGUACAGGGGAAGAAGACAAACAAAGCUUAUGACUGAAGCAGAAGUUAAUUACUCUUCUGUCCCUUGUCUAUUUAUGAGAAACACAACAGCUGUUUCUAGUGUGUUCUCAACUUCCCUUAGGUGAAACCUUCUUUGUAGACUAGAGUCUUUGGAAGCUUCUCUUCCCUGUAGAGUAUCUUAACACUUAAGGCAAAACUCAACAACAAGACUGUUAAAUUUACAUCUUUUCAGGAAAGCGAAUUUUUCAAAGAAGCAAAACAGAGAGAAGUAAGAACAGAGUGGUUCUGCUGUUCUGGACAUGGAACCAUAAAAUUUUUCUAGUUGUCAGUACUCCAUCAUCUGCAGGAGAAAAUGGCUUGUGUGAAAAACUAAGAAAUAGUCUUGUCAUUACCAGUAUAGUCAUGGUCGAUCCCACGUUCAUUACAAAACAGAGUUGUAAUACGUUUCAGGUUGCCUUAACAAUGUGAUAAGCUGUGGAGACGGCUAAGGAUCCAGGAAAGGAAUGUUAACAAUGUGAGUUCAGUCAAGGCAGAUCUUUAACUGUUCAGGGUCAGCAGUGAAAGGUGUCGUCCCCAUCAGACCACACGUCUAUGUUAGGCCCUUGAUGCAAAGAUCUGAAGCAAAUCAAUUCAGUCAAGAACAGCCCCAGAGAAUUAGCUUUCCAUCCUAGAUGUUCUAGUGAGUAGUUCAGGCCUACAACUUUAACUCUUUACGAUACAAUUAAAGAGUGCAGCGGCAUGGGGGAACAGCAGCGACAUGUAUUCUCAUCGACGUAGGAUAGCUGGAUGAUACUUCAUGGUUUGGAAGUGGACCAGACAAUGUCUCCUGUAGAAAGUUUAAAAGCUCUUUCCUUCACCCGAAGGAUUGUUCCUUAUGCUGGUUACAUCUUUGGCCGAAGUUAGGCCAAAAACGCUUCUGCCUUUUGGCUAUUGAAUCAGCGGAUAUGCAAAUGUUGCUGAUUCUUGUUGUUUUCUGUACCCAAAGUCUGAUUUAUUCAUUGCUAAUAAAGAGAAAAACAACCUUUACUAACAUAAACCUUGACAUCUAUGUUUUAAAAAAGGCAAGACUAUUUUGGGUAGUACCUGAGUUCAAGUAGGUACGCUCCCAAAUUCAAUGUGGAAAUAGAUAGAUGUAUGGUACAAUACAAAACCAUGCGAAAGAUGUUUUUCCAGAAUAUGCUAAAGUGUGGCUUUCUGAAACAUUUAUUCUUUCAGGAAAAGCGAAAUGUUCAAAACAAACGCAGAGUUGGAUAAUGUAAUUAAUUAUCAUUAUCAUUAUCAUUAUAGUCAUAGUCGAUCCCAAGUUAUCCUAAAACAGAGCAAAACAGAAUGAUAAGAUGUUUCAGUUACCAGAAACAGGAAACAAGAUAGGAAUUCCUUUAUCUUGUUCUUCAGUUAUCAUGUAAUCAACACACAAAGCUUCCCCCUCUAGAGAUGUUGAUGAUGAUGGUUCUCCCUGCCCUAACGAAAGCUCCAUAUUUAGAGCGGCCAAUCCUGUGUCCGCUACAAUUAGGCCAUAGGGUAAGUUGAUAUCUUCUUCAGAUGUCCCCGAUGUCAUCUGCAUUAUAAAUCAAACGAUAGAUUCUAUUAAAUAGUCUGUCCCUAUGGUAUUUCGAUCCUGGAAAAUCAAAUCAAAAGUCAAAAGAUACCCGCAUCCGCUUCUCGCUUCUCGUAGUCUGUUGGUUGUUCUCUUCUUGAGAGACAUACAUGAGUCGUACACCGCAUUCUUUGAUCCUAUUGGAGCAACAAAACUUAAACUCCACAUCGUUGAAAUUCAAUUUAGAUGGAAGAUCUUCAGACCGGAACUUGAAGGAACAGAAAAACAGAUGAUCCGUCUUACAAAGCUCCAGUUCUGCAUCUUUAGAAAAUGAUUUCUGAUACUGUUUGCCAUUGAAGCCAACGUUUACCUUCAAGAAUGGAUAAAAACCCUUGCCCUUGGAGAGAGGUUCAACCACGACGCAAGCCUUAAAUCGCAAGAAAUUUUGAGAAAGAGAGCUCUGAGGUACAAUGACAGUUAGGGAAUCUCCAUAAGCUCGAUACGUGAAAUACUUAGGGAUUUCUUCACCUGGUAAGGCCACAGGCUUGAAGCAUGAUCGUAGGAUGAGCUCUCGCGCAUCUCUAUCCAAUUUGAAGCAAUUACGGAAGCUAAAAUGUUCCUGGAGGUAUGCAACACGAUACAACUUAUCCCAGAUAUAUUCAAUGUUUUCAGAUAAUGGUACACAAGAAACGUGGUCUUCCAUUGUCGCUACCACAGUUGCAUCACUCAACGCCUUGAUGACACCUCUACAGUCUGUAAAGUCGGCGAGCUCAAGUCUUGUAAGUCUGAAAAUGUUUGGGGAGAUGGUUUUCAACCUCUGGCAACAAUACAUCAUAAGUACAGUGAGCCUCGUGAAAUCCUCAAUGCAGCAGGGAACUUCUUCAAUGGCGGUGUUUUGCAGAUAGAGACAUUCGAUUCUAGUUGAAAUCAGAGGAAAAGUUCUCAGACUUGAGCAACCACUGAGAUCGAGGAUCAUAAGAGAUGACAAGUUGACAUCGGUCGGAAGAACCUCCAGCCCUGUGCAUUCUUUCAUUUCUAACUUCACCAAUCUAUGAAGAUUCCCAAUUGUAGAAGGGAUUUCUUCAAUGGCGGUGUUUUCCAGAUAGAGCCAUACAAUAUUAGUUGAAAUCAGAGGAAAAGUUCUCAGACUUGAGCAACCACUGAGAUCGAGGAUCAUAAGAGAUGACAAGUUGACAUCGAUCGGAAGAACCUCCAGCCCUGUGCAUUCUUUCAUUUCAAAGCUCACCAAUUUUUGGAGAUUUCCUAUAGUAGUAGGAAGUGUCACCAAACUUUUGCAAUUGUUGAGUUUCAAAUUCUUCAGAUUAGUGGCCUUUGAAAGAUCUGGAAUUUCUUCAAUGGCGGUGUUUUCCAGAUAGAGCCAUUUGAUACUCUCUGAAAUCAGAGGAAAACUUCUCAAACUUGAGCAACCACUGAGAUCGAGGGUUUCGAGAGAUGACAAGUUGACAUCGGUCGGAAGAACCUCCAGCCCUGUGCAUUUUUUCAUUUCUAACCUCACCAAUCUAUGAAGAUUCCCAAUUGUAGAAGGAAUUUCUUCAAUGGCGGUGUUUUCCAGAUAGAGCCAUACAAUAUUAGUUGAAAUCAGAGGAAAACUUCUCAAACUUGAGCAACCACUGAGAUCGAGGGUUUCGAGAGAUGACAAGUUGACAUCGGUCGGAAGAACCUCCAGCCCUGUGCAUUCUUUCAUUUCCAACCUCACCAAUCUAUGAAGAUUCCCAAUUGUAGAAGGAAGUGUCACCAAACUUUUGCAGUUGUUGAGUAUCAAAGACUCGAGCUUGGUGGCCUUUGAAAGAUCUGGAAUUUCUGUCAGGUUUUCAGAUUCUGACAGAUCCAUCCCUUCGAGACUUCCAAGCGACUGAAAAAAACAUUGGUAUGCUUCAAUCAUUAUCGAUGAUAAUCAUUUUAAUUUUAUACUGUAUAUGUUUAAAAUUAUAAUUAAACAUUAUUAUAAGACAUAACCGUGGUAAGACAUAACCGUGGAUCACAAGCCAUAAUAACAAAUUUGGGUAUAGUUAAUUAGUUAUAUAACAGAAGGUAAACAAAAAUCAGCAUAGCAUUAACAAUGUACCUGGAUGCCUUCCCAUAGCUUCUCAUGCUUGUAGCCCCUCACAUUGAGAAAAGCGAGUUGUUCUGGGCGAAAUUCACAAGGCAUACAUCUCGUAAGGCAGUCGAGAUAAUCUAGUCCAGCAGGGAGAUUCUUGUUCCAGAAACAAUCUUCUACCACGAUCUCAUUUCUCCCUUCCGGAAAGUCAACGUCUGAACAUCCCAUUUUGAUUGCUGGAAAGUUUCUCAAAUUCGGGCAUCCAGUGAGAUUGAGGUACUCGAGAGAUUCCAAGUUGAGAUCGGUUGGAAAACUCUCUAGCUUUUUGCAAUCACUCAUAUCUAAAUAGAUCAGUUUAGUGGCAUUCUGAAUCGAGGAAGGAAGUGUCACCAAAGAUUUGCAUCCAACAAGAUCUAAUUCCUCGAGGUUUAUGGCUAAAGAAAGAUCUGGAAUUUCUUUCAAAUUGUUGGAAUACCUCAAAUUCAUCUCCUUGAGACUUCCAAGGGGCUGAAAACAAAAUAUGGAAAAAGAGAAUACACACGUUCACAAAUAUACCACAGUUCUGUUCUAAAAACUGACAACUAAUAAAAUUUAGAAUUCGUACCAGAGUUCCUUCCCACAGUUUCUCAAGCUUACUAUACUUCAUUAUGAGGUUAACUAGAUAUUCCGCCUUAAAAGUAGAUGGCAAAGACUUCAAUGGACAAUCAUCCCAGUCUAGCAAUCUGAGUUUAAGGGGCAAAUAAACGAGGCUCUGAGGUAGAUCCCCGUAAUAACCAAUUUCUAGAUAUUGCAGAUUACGCAUGCCUUUGAACGAUUCUUUAUCUAUUAAUAACGGCCUUGUCGAAAAAUAUUCCUCGAAUGGCAAACGUAUUCCAAGAAGAGUUUCUGUCCCCUGAAAAAAAAUCCGAAGAAAACUAAUAUAAUCUUAACAAUCGCAACCCUUUUUAAUUUUCUGACACAUCAAAGCUACAUUUUAAUUACGCAUGAGGCAACAAUUGCUUAAGUUUAUCAAUCCCCAAAUUACGAUUAUAUUAAUAUAAAGUCAUGCAUUCAAACGGAGCUGCGAAAAAAACUUACAGUUUUCUCGGUCACUACUUCAUGAAUAUCUUCAAAAUUCGUCAGAAAUCGACGUUUUCCAGGAUUACCCUUGGACUUUGCACGAUCAAUUUCUCUACCCAAUUUCUCUAGCAAAUUGUGCAUCUCUAUAUAUCCAUCCGGUGUAAUACGUAUGAGGGACUUCUCAGUCAACAUUGUAAACCCAACAUUAUCUUUAAGUAAAUCUUUGACGUAACUGACUUCAAAACCAUUGAAUAAACACGCGAUGUAAAGGAACAUAUCUUGAUCUUUUUGAUGUAAUCUAUCGUAGCUGACUCUUAAUGUUUUCAUAAUAUCUCCGUUCAAACCAUUUCGGAGCCUAGGCAUCAUCUCCAUCCACCAUUCUUUGGUCCUUCCCUUUAAAGACGAACCAAGGACACUAAGACCCAACGGAAGAUUACCGGCAAGCUUCGCAACUUCAAAUGCUAGUUCCUUAAAAUCAUCAGGUGGAGAGUCUUUCCCAAAAGCAGAUCGGCAUAACAUCGUAAGAGCAAGAUGUUCAGAUGGGAACUCCACCUCAUAUAUAAGGUCAAUCUCAUGAGCCUUGAGAAGUUGCCUAUCUUGAGUGAUCACAAUUAUUCUGCUUCCAGAUCCAAACCAUUCAGCUUUUCCCACCAAGGUCUUAAGAAACUCUAGACUAUCCACAUCAUCAAGAAGGAUAAGAACUUUCUGUUGCUUUAACCUUUGCUCCACCACACCAAAAUGCUCUAUCUUUAUGUCCUUUUGACCUAAGAUUUCCGAGAGAAGUUCUUUUUCCCACCUCAACUUCAUGCCAGAGACGUCACUACCGCUGGUGCUUUUAUAUGUUAUGAAAGCGCGAUGGUGGAACUGGAUAGAGAGUUUACUGUAAAGAGCUCUUCCUAUGGUACUCUUACCAAUCCCUGAUUGUCCCCAAAUCCCGACCAUUAUUCUAGCUUCCUUGGAUUCCAAGCACAAUACUGAUUUUAUUGCCUCUAUAUGAUUUUCAAUUCCGACUAAGUCGCCAAAAUCAUCCGAUGGUGUCAUAGUUUUUCUCAAAACAUCCUCGGCAAGCUCUUCAAUCAUGGCUGCUUCACUAGGCCUAAUAACAAUAGUCAACUGUUUCAUUAAAGAAGCAACGCAAAACAAAAAAAUCACGAAGUCUAUUCAUUGAAAUACCAUUUCCGAAGAUCAUAUCCGGCCAUAACUGCAACAGCUGCUAGAGCUUGCUUCCAACUUUGUUUCUCAUCCUCUGAUUUAGCCUUGCAUGUCUCUUCAAAGACCUUUCCAAAUUCGCCGGUCUGUUUUUUAACUUCCGAAGCAUCAACGUGGAAGAAAAUCGGAAUCACCAUUUGAUUCAAAUUCGUAUAACACUUGUGAAUCUCCACCAAUUCAUUCAGGCACCAGGUGGAUGAAGCAUAGUUCUUAGAGAAGAUAACGAUUGCUAUUCUCGAUUCUUUUAUUGCCGAUAAAAGCUCCGGGCCGAUUGAGCGGCUCCUCUCGAUCUCAUCAUCUAUGAAUGUGAUUGCUUUGCCCCUGAGCUCCUUGAGAAGAUGGCUGAGGAAUGAGUCACGGACAUCUUCUCCACGAAAGCUUGGGAAAACGUCGUAUCUCCGGCUGCCAGAAGAAGAAGCUAUCUCCAUAUCAUCAUCUUUGGAUGUAUCCAUCAUUUCACGGUCGAGCUCGAGCUCCUUGACAAGAUGGCCACGAAACAAUUUGCCGAAAUUUUCUCCACUGAAGCUCGCGAAAACAUUGUAUAUCCAUCUGAGAACAUUGUAUAUCUAUCUGAAGCAAGAAGACGCCAUGGCAGAGGAUGAGAGAGAAGAGACGAAAUUUCUCAAAGGAAAACUCUUUGAAGUAUAUCAAUAAUACAACACAGUAACAGAGAGGAGAAACUUGGUCUUCCUUUCCUCGAAGACUUGUAUAGAAGACUUACUAUACAAGAUAUUGUUUUAGUGGUUAAAAUCAAAUCCCAUUACAAGACAAUUGGGACAAAUAAUACGUAAACUUGGUCUUCCUUUCUUAGAAGACUUGCAUAGAAGACUUACUGUACAAGAUAUUUUUUUAGUGGUUGAAAAAUCAAAUCCCUAACAAGAUAAGGCCAUAAUUAUGUGAUACAGAAACUUCCCCUUCCUUUCCUUGGAAAGCUUCUACUCUAUAACGAUAAGUCAAUUUUGUGGCUAUCAGUCGUCACUGAAUUUAUCUAUGAUGAUGAGACGUAGCCAUUCUACAAGAUUUCAAGAUAAUUUCUAGGCAAAAUAGACAGAAACUUCCUCGAGAGCUACUUUUCCUCUCCACAGAUAUUUUUGAAGACCCAAAAUUUUGUGGCUGUCAGUGGUUCAAGACAGAAACAAGAUUUCAAUUUAUUUUAACAAUGUUAAGGUUCACUAAUAUCAAAAGUCUGGUUUUCCUAUUCAUACUGUACAUACAUGCAUGGAAAUUAGGAGAAUAAUUAGUAUAUCGAUUAUGAGGAUUAUAAUUCAACUAAUAAUACAGUGAAAACACUAACAACAAACUAUCUAGUUUUCUAGAGCUGUGUGGUGUGGACAGUGGAGAGAAUAUUUUCAUGUAAAGUUUUCUUGUUUACAUUUACAAUUGUAAUAUUAGUUUAGAGUUUUGGCUUACUGUGUCAGCAACCACUGUAGGCUGCGAUUGCAUUUGCUGCCGUUUAAGGAGCAUUUGGUUUCUAAGGGUAGGUUUCAUGUACUGGAUGGAAGAAGUCGUGCUUGAGAGCAUCCUCUGCACUGAUUCGCCGUCUCGGGUUAACGGUCAAACAUCUAUCAACGAGGUCAAGGAGCGACCAUGGAAUUGCAUCUAGAAACUCCAUGCGUUUUGGGUUGAGUUCGUACCAUUUUCUCAACUCCAUCCCUUUCAAGUACCUUGACUUGUACAAUUCCUGAAACAACAACACAAAAAUCAACCUGAACUCAUCUCUCACGAUCAUCUAUCUAAUAAUUUUGUCGGUAAUUUACAUUUUUAAGAUAUAUAAUGUUUUGGAACACAAAAUGCUAACAAUGAAAACCCUUUUGUGAUAUUUGAAUCCAAAUGCUGGCGGCAAAGAAGAACAGAACAUGUAUGUUAUGUUCACACCAAUGCAGUAAUCAAAUGAAUGGAGAGUUUACAAGGGAUGAAAGAUGAGAUUUUACCUCAUGUAAAGAGGAUUCACGGUUGUGCAGCUUGGCUACUUCCCAUAAUUCUUCACUGCCUCGUAGUUGCGCAAUGUCCUUUAUGUUCCUGGGAAUGACAAGGUCGUUGUAAGACGGCAAGAAAGAAGAAAAAAGUGGAACCGAGUGAUGGUGUAUUCAGUCAAGUCAGAUCUUAACUGUUCAGGGUCACCAGUGAGAGCUUUCCUUCCCAUUAUGAGGUAUAACAAAGUAACUCCCGCAGAACACACGUCUUUUUUUAGGUCCUUGGUCCAAAGACCAUUCAGCCGAGAACAGCCCUAGAGAAUUAGCUUUUCCAUCCCAUCCUAGAUGUGUUAAUGAGUAGCUCAGGGAACAAGAUAUUUUCAUAUGGAUUUAACUAGUAUCAAGGGAAGUGAUAUAUCUGCAGGAAAAAUGGCUUGUGUCAAAACAUAUGAAAUCGUCUUGCCAUUAUCAUUAUAGUCAUGCUCGGUCCCAAGUUAUCCUAAAACAGAGGAAAACCGAAUAAUAAGAUGCUUCAGUUACCAGAACCAGAAUUCAAGAUAGGAAUUUCUUCAUCUUGUUGUUCACUUAUCAUGGAAUCAACACACAAAGAUUCCCCCUCCAGAGAUGGAUAAGAAGAAACUGAUGAUGCUUCUCCCUGCCCUAACGAAAGCUCCAUAUUUAGAGCGGUCAAGCUUGUGUCCGCUACAAUUUGGACACAGGGUAAGUUGAUAUAUUCUUCAGAUGUUCCCGAUGUCAUCUGCAUCGUAAACCAAAGGAUCGAUUCUGUUAAAUAGUCUGUCACUAAGGUAUUGAUCCUGGAAAAUAUAAUAAAACAUCAAGAGAUAGCUUUGCAAUUUUCAGUUCUAAUUAUGUCAAAAGGCUUACCCGCAUCCGCUUAUUGCUUCUCGCAGUCUCUACAACAUCACAUUUUUCUCGAGACUGUUGGCUGUACUCUGUUUCAGAGCUUCCAUCACUAUCAUCUGGAAAUGGAGACACAUUCAAGAGUCGUAUACCACAUUCUUUUAUCCUCUUGGAGCAAGAAAAGUUAAACUCCACAUCGUUGAAAGUCAAUUUAGAUGGAAGAUCUUCAGGCUGGAAGUUGAAGGAACAGAAAACCAGAUGAUCCGUCUUACACAACCGCAGGUCUGCAUCUUUAAAAAAUGAUUUGCAAUACAGUGUCCCAUUGAAGCCAGCAUUUACCUCACAAUAUGGACCCCAACUCUUGCCCUCAGUUAGAAGGUCAACCACGAUGCAAGCCUUAAAGCAAGAAUACUUGAGAAAGAGAGCUCUAAGGUAAAGUGACAGUUAGGGAAUCUCCAUAAGCUCGAUGUUGAAAAUACGUUGGCACUUCUCCACCUGGUAAGGACAUAGGCUUGAACAAUGACCGUAAGAUGAGUUCUCGCGCAUCUCCAUCCAAUUUGCAGCAGUUCUGGAAGAGAUAAUGAAAGGCCCCGAUCCGGACUACCUAAGUCCGGACGAGAUCUCUCGACCCAAGUCACUAAGUGACUCGACCCAAGUCACUAAGUGACUCGACCCUAACCAUUUAUGAGGUUCAUUCCCUAGUGUAAUCCGUUUCAUACAAUUCUGUGAUUCAAUAUAUGAGACGAAUAGAGUAAACAAACAAUCGGAUACUUUAUUAAUUAAGUAAAGGAUUCGAUACAACUUAUGAGUUUGCAUAUAAGCUAUUACAAGUAAUUUAAUCGAUCCCUAGACUAUCCGAAACUAUCACCACCCAUCAUUCCGGCCUUGAGUCUCUCGCGCCUAAGCCAAGUCCUUCCCACUAUCACCAUUGGUUCCUGAAAGUCAUAGAGCCAUAAGUAAUUUCAUUUACUUAGUCAUAUGCAAGUCCAUGCAAUGCUCCAUAGUCCUUACACUACUCGGAUCCGCGGAGAGGAUUCGGAGAAGGGAAGAUCGCGCAUAAGUCCGGCCGAUUCUCGGUAGGUCAAUUAAGACCCGCCGGUCCUCCGCCGAGCCGCGUCUCCGCCCCAGCCGAUCCCUUGCCCGGACCGAGGCUUGUGUAGGUUGCACAUGACCCGAUUCUACCCAGCCCAUUAGUCGUUCCUUUCAAGGAAUCCCGACUCAUUUAACGCAUUCUAGAAUCCUUAGACUCGAGGUCUAGGAUUCCUUACCUUCCUUCACGAUGUUCGGUCGAUCCGACCCUUCUUCUUCCUUGCCGGCCACAGUCCGCCUACCGAUUUCCUCCGAUGAUUUAUUCUCCCGAAAGGGAGAGAGUUUAAUGGUGAGUUUCCGGUAUUUUCCGUGUGUUCUGCUGCCUCUAAAGGUCUUGGGCGCCCUCCCUUAUAUAAGGAGCGAAUUGAUGCUUCCCGAAGGAUCACCUCCGUUCCUUGCACCUUUCCGAAGAGUUGCAUCUCUCGGUCCGUAACUGCUCGCCCUUAUCCACCCUUUGGGCGAGCACCCGUUCGACCGUAACCGCCCAAGUAACCGUCCGGGUAACCGCCCAGCUGGUCAGACAGUCGACCAGCUGCCUCGAGCUCAACCGUCACUCGCCCAGCUGCUCGAGCUGGACUGUCACUCAACCCGAGUAACCGUCACUCCUUCCAGCUGAGCUUGAGCUUCGGACGAGCUGACCCAGCUGAUUCCUUUACGAUCCUAGCUUAGCCCGCAUGAUUUCCCUUUGUCCGAGCUUAUGGCCAACUCCUUCCCACUUGUCCGAGACUCCACCUUCUUUUCUCGGACCAAGUCCCAGCCAACGAUCCUAUUGAGGAUCGCGGGCGUUACAAGUCUCCCCUUUGAAUUGGAUUCGACAAAUCGAAUCCAAGUUGAUCUUUACCCAUCUCCUUGAACCACUCCGGAAAAUUGGCCUUCAUCUUAGUCUCGGUUUCCCAAGUGUAUUCUUCACGGCCUCCACAAUUCCACAAGAUUUUUAACAAAUCCAUUGAUUUCCCCCGAGUCCCUUUCUUCAUUUGGUCCAUGAUCCGUACCGGCCAUGCUUCCACCGUCAUGUUCUCCUUUAACCCAGGAGGUACAUCUUCCAUGCUUUCUUCUUGUUCACUUAAGCACUUCCGUAGUUGUGAUACAUGAAAGACAUUGUGAAACGCGUCUAGUUUUGGAGGAAGGUCAAGUUUGUAUGCCACCGCCCCUACUCGUUCGAUCACUUUGUACGGGCCAACGUACCUUGGCCUUAACUUUUUCCUUGAUGUGAAUCGCCCUGCCCCUUUGUAGGUCAUCGCCUUUAAAUACACCAAGUCUCCCACUUGGAAUUCUAAUUCCUUUCGACGCUUGUUGGCGUAACUUUUCUGACGAUCUUGGGCUUCCUUUAACUUGAUUUUUAAGAACUUCAUUUUCUUCGUGGUUUCAUCCACGACCGCAGGUCCGAACAACCGACGUUCGCCCACUGGCGUCCAACACAACGGUGUUCUACCAGCUCGGCCAUACAACGCCUCAUAGGGAGACAUACCAAUACUAGCUUGAAAACUGUUAUUGUACGCAAAUUCUACUAACCUUAGAUAUUUCUCCCAGUUUCCUCCCCAAUCCAAGACGCAUGCCCUCAACAUGUCCUCGAGGGUUUGAAUCGUUCGUUCGGACUGUCCGUCCGUCUGUGGGUGAUAUGCAGUACUUAGAUUCACUCGAGUCCCUAAGACCUUUUGAAAAGGCUUCCAAAAUUUUGACGUGAACCUUGUGUCUCGGUCCGACACUAUACUAACCGGAAUCCCAUGUAAUCGCACGAUCUCGUCUAUGUACUUCUCGGCAAUGAUUUCGGCUGCAUCCUUAUCCGAGAUUGCCAUGAAGUGCGCAGACUUAGUCAAUCGGUCUACUACAACCCAUACCGCAUUGUGUUUGGACUUGAUCCCCGUCGGCAGUCCCGUGACGAAGUCCAUCAUUAUAUGGUCCCACUUCCAUUCCGGUAUAGGUAGGUUUUGUAACAUUCCACUUGGUACUUGAUGCUCUUCCUUGGCUACCCACCUGGCCACAUCUUUCUUCAUUCCUACCCAAUGGUAGUAUCUUUUAAGGUCGCGAUACAUCUUGUUCGACCCAGGAUGGAUCGAGAACUUCGAUUGAUGCGCUUCUUUUAGGAUUUCCUCCUUCAACGCCUUAUCGUUCGGCCCACAUACUCGACCGUUCACCACGAUAGUACCAUUGUUCGAGCUUUGGUACUCGGUUUUAUUGUUUUGUGCCCACCCUUUUAUUUCUUCAUCUCGUUCUUGAGCCGACCGGAUCCUACUAAGUAGGUCGGCUUGAUUGGCGGCUCUCAACCCUAAGGGUUCAACUUCCUUAGACAAAGCAUUCAAAUGCAAUGUCCCCAUCAUGUUAACCAAAUUCACUUGGUUCCUUUCCGCUUCCACUACCGUGCGCAGCCUGCUCAAAGCAUCUACAACUUGGUUGGCCUUGCCCGGAUGGUACGCUAUGUUCAAGUCGUAAUCCGCCACAAGUUUUAUCCACCUUCUUUGCCUUAGAUUUAACUCCGGCUGGGUGAAUAUGUAUUUUAGGCUCUUGUGGUCAGUAAAGAUUUGAACCUUGGCACCAUACAAAUAUGAUCGCCAAAUCUUCAACGCAAAUACUACCGCGGCCAUUUCCAAAUCAUUCGUAGGGUAGUUCUUCUCGUGUUUCCGCAAUUGCCUCGAGGCGUAUGCGAUAACACUCCCCUUUUGGAUCAAUACGCAUCCUAGUCCUACUAUGGAUGCGUCCGUGUAGACCGUAUAGGGCUCACCUUCCUCCGGUAAGACCAACACCGGUGCAUUAGUCAACAUGGCCUUUAACUCCAGGAAGCUUCUCUCGCAUUCCUCCGACCAGUUGAAUGCGGUGUCUUUUCCGGUCAAUUGAGUCAUGGGUUGGGCCAUGCUCGCAAAUCUCUCGACCCAAGUCACUAAGUGAAUGGACCCUAACCAUUUAUGAGGUUCAUUCCCUAGUGUAAUCCGUUUCAUACGAUUCUGUGAUUCAAUAUAUGAGACGAAUAGAGUAAACAAACAAUCAGAUACUUUAUUAAUUAAGUAAAGGAUUCGAUACAACUUAUGAGUUUGCAUAUAAGCUAUUACAAGUAAUAUAAUUGAUCCCUAGACUAUCCGAAACUAUCACCACCCAUCAUCCCGGCCUUGAGUCUCUCGCGCCUAAGCCAAGUCCUUCCCACGAUCACCAUUGGUUCCUGAAAGUCAUAGAGCCAUAAGUAAUCUCAUUUACUUAGUCAUAUGCAAGUCCAUGCAAUGCUCCAUAGUCCUUACACUACUCGGAUCCGCGGAGAGGAUUUGGAGAGGGGAAGAUCGCGCAUAAGUCCAGCCGAUUCUCGGUAGGUCAAUUAAGACCCUCCGGUCCUCCACCGAGCCGCGUCCCCGCCCUAGCCGAUCCCUUGCCCGGACUGAGUCUUGUGUAGGUUGCACAUGACCCGAUUCUACCCAGCCCAUUAGUCGUUCCUUUCAAGGAAUCUCGACUCAAUUAACGUAUUCUAGAAUCCUUAGACUCGAGGUCUAGGUUUCCCUUACCUUCCUUCACGAUGUUCGGUCGAUCCGACCCUUCUUCUUCCUUGCCGGUCACAGUCCGACUACCGAUUUCCUCCGACGAUUUAUUCUCCCGAAAGGACGAGAGUUUAAUAGUGAGUUUCCGGUAUUUUCUGUGUGUUCUGGUGCCUCUAAAGGUCUUGGGCACCCUCCCUUAUAUAAGGGGCGAAUUGAUGCUUCCCGAAGGAUCACCUCCGUUCCUUGCACCUUUCCGAAGAGUUGCAUCUCUCGGUCCGUAACUGCUCGCCCUUAUCCACCCUUUGGGCGAGCACCCGUUCGACCGUAACCGCCCAAGUAACCGUCCGGGUAACCGCCCAGCUGGUCAGACAGUCGACCAGCUGCCUCGAGCUCAACCGUCACUCGCCCAGCUGCUCGAGGUGGACUGUCACUCAACCCGAGUAACCGUCACCCCUUCCAGCUGAGCUUGAGCUUCGGACGAGCUGACCCAGCUGAUUCCUUUACGAUCCUAGCUUAGCCCGCAUGAUUUCCCUUUGUCCGAGCUUAUGGCCAACUCCUUCCCACUUGUCCGAGACUCCACCUUCUUUUCUCAGACCAAGUCCCAGCCAACAAUCCUAUUGAGGAUCGCGGGCGUUACAGAUAACCUGCCCUACAGGCCAAAUGUUUGUGGUUAAGGUUUUCCCAGAAACGAUGACGAGUAUACUCAAUGUUUUCAUAUAAUGGUAUAUAAGAAGAGUGAUCUUCCACACUGGCAUCACUCAUCGCCACGUUGACACCUCUACAUUCUGUAAAGUCGACGAGCUUAAGAAUUGUCAGUCUGAAAAUGUUUGGCGAGAUGUUUUUCAACCUCUUGCAACAAUACAUCAUAAGUACAGUGAGCCACGAGAAAUUUUCAAUGCAGCAGGGAACUUCUUCAAUAGCGGUGUUUUCCAGAUAGAGCCAUUUGAUACUCUUUGAAAUCAGAGGAAAAGUUCUCAAACUUGAGCAACCACUCAGAUCAAGCAUUUUAAGAGAUGACAAGUUGACAUCGGUUGGAAGAACCUCCAGCCCUGUGCAUUCUUUCAUUUCCAACCUCACCAAUUUUUGGAGAUUCCCAAUUGUAGAAGGAACUGUCACCAAACUUUUGCAAUUAGAGAGAUAUAAAUUCACCAGAUUAGUGGCCUUUGAAAGAUCUGGAAUUUCUGUCAGGUUUCCACAUUCUGACAUAUCCAUCUCCACGAGACUUGCAAGCGACUGAAACAGAAAUUAAAAAAAAAAAUUGUUAUGCUUCAAUCACUUUCAUUUUAAUUUAAUAACUAUACACAUUUAAACAAAAUUAUAAUCAAGACAUAAUUCUGUAUGUAAAUAUAAACCGUGGAAUCACAAGCCAUUUUGACAACUUUAAUUUGGUUAUACGUAAUUAUUUACAACAGAGGUUAAACAAAAAUCAGCAAAUGCUAUAAUAUUAACAAUGUACCUGGACGCCUUCCCAUAGCUUCUCAAGCAUUUGGUUGCCUCUCACUAUGAGACGAACCAGAUCAUUUGGGCGAAAUUCACAUGGCAUACAUCUCACAAGGCAGGCGAGAUAAUCAAGACCAGGGAGAUUCUUGUUCCAUAUACAAUUUUCUACGCGGAUCUCAAUUCCAUGUGGCGAAGUAGUUGAAGUUUCCAUUUUAAACACAGGGAAAUUUUUCUCAAAUUAUCGUAAUAAAGGAGACCGAGGUACUCAAGAGAUUCCAAGUUGAGAUGAGUUGGAAAACUCUCUAGCUUUGUGCAACCCCUCAUAUCUAAAUAGAUCAGUUUAAUGGCAUUCUGAAUCGAGGAAGAAAGUGUCACCAAAGAUCUGCAUUCCGAAAGAUUUAAUUCCUCGAGGUUUCUGGCAUUAGAAAGAUCUGAAAUUUCUCUCAAAUAUCUGGAACCAUGCAUAUUCAUCCUCUUGAGGCUUCCAAGUGGCUGAAAACAAAAUAGGGAAAAACAUAAUACACACAUUCAUAAACAUUUCAAAUAGAUUAAUUUUUACCACAGGUCUGUUCUAAAAAUUGACAACUAUUUCAAUGAAGAAUUAAGUACCACAGUUCCUUCCCACAGCUUCUCAAGCUUACUUCCCAUCAUUGUGAGUUGAAUGAGGUAAUCCGCCUUAAAACUAUAAGGCAAACAUUUCAAUGGACACCUAUCCCAGUCUAGCAAUCUGAGUUUAGGGGGCAAAUAAACGAGGCUCUGAGGUAGAUCCAUAUAAUCCCCAGUAACUGAUAGACAUUGGAGAUUACGCAUGCCUUGGAACGAUUUUUCAUCUAUUGGUAAUAGCUCUUUUGAUCGGAAAGCUGUGCAGAAACGUAUUCCAAGAACUGUUUCUGUCCCCUGAAAAAAAUACGAAGUAAACUAGUAUAAUGAUAUAAUCUUUACAAUGGCAACCGUUUUUAUUUUUCUGAGACAUCAAAAGAGCUAGCCACGUUUUAAUUAAGCAGGAGAGGCAACAAUUGUUAAAGUUUAUCAAUCCCCAAAUGACGAUUAAAUUAAUAUAAAGUCAUGCAUUAAAAGGCAUCUGCUAAAAACUUACAGUUUUCUCUGUCAAUACUUCUCAGAGUAUCCUCAAAAUCCGUUAGAAAUCGACGUUUUCCAGGAUUACCCUUGGACUUUGCACGAUCAAUUUCUAUACCCAAUUUCUCUAGCAAAUUGUGCAUCUCUAUAUCUCCAUCCGGUGUAAUACGUAUGAGGGACUUCUCAACCAACAUUGUAACCCCAACAUUAUCUUCAAGUAAAUCGUUGACGUAACUGACUUCAAAACCAUUGAAUAAACACGCGAUGUAAAGGAACAUAUCUUGAUCUUUUUGAUGUAAUCUAUCGUAGCUGACUCUUAAUGUUUUCAUAAUAUCUCCGUUCAAACCAUUUCGGAACCUAGGCAUCAUCUCCAUCCACUCUUCUUUGGUCCUUCGUUUUAAAGACGAACCAAGGACACUGAGACCCAAAGGAAGAUUACCGGCAAGCACUGCAACUUCAAAUGCUAGUGCCUUAAAAUCAUCAGGUGGAGAGUUUUCCCCAAAAGCAGAUCGGCAUAACAUCUUAAGAGCAAGAUCUAGAGAUGGGAACUUCACCUCAUAUAAAAGGUCAAUAUCAUGAGCCUUAAGAAGUUGCAUAUCUUGAGUGAUCACAAUAAUUCUGCUUCCAGGUCCAAACCAUUUAGUUUCCCCCACCAAGGUCUUAAGAAACUCUGGAUCAUCCACAUCAUCAAGAACGAUAAGAACUUUCUUCUGAUUUAACAUUUGCUCCACUACACCUAACUUCCCUCCUAUCUUUAUAUCCUUACCAAGAAUUUUUGACAGAAAUAUUUCUUCCCAUUCAGACUUCAUGCUAUAGACGUGAGGUACGAAAGCGUGAAAGUGGAAUUGGCAAAAGAGUUGACUGUAUAGAGCUUUUCCUAUGGUACUCUUACCAAUCCCUGAAGGCCCCCAAAUCCCAACCAUUCUAGCUUCCUUGGAUUCCAAGCACAAUAUUGAAUUCAUUGCCUCUAAAUGAGCUUCAAUUCCGACGAAAUCGCCAAAAGAAUUCGAUGGUGAAAUAAGCUUAUUCGAAACAUCAUUAGCUAUCUUUACAACCAUGGCUGCUUCACUAGGCCUAAUAACAGUAGUCAAAUUGUGUCAAUAAAGAGGCACCCCUAAAGCACACAAUCCAAAAAAAGAAGAAGCAGAUAGCAUAGUUCAGAGAUAAUUAAAAACACACUCAGAGAUAAUGAAAUCAAAAACAAAGUACCCGUUUCGAAGAUCUUCUCCGGCUAUAUUUGUUAUGUCUACUAGAGCUUGCAUCCAUCUUUGUUUCUGAUCCUCUUCUUUGUCCUCGCAUGUCUUUUUAAAAACAUCGCCAAAUUCGCCGGUCUGUUUUCUAACUUCCGAAGGAUCAACGUCGUAAAAAACUGAAAUCACCAAUUGACCCCAAUCAUUUAAGCGAUUGUGGAUCUCAACCAAUUCAUCCAAGCACCAAGUGGAAGAAGCAUAGUUCUUAGAGAAGAUCACGAUUGAGAUCCUUGCUUCUCUAAUCGCUGAUAUUAGCUCAGGGGCUAUUGUACGGCUUCGUUCGAUGCCAUGAUCCAUGAAUGUAUUGAUUGAUCUGCGGUCGAACGCCUCGAGUAGAUUGCUGAGGAACGUCUUGCGAACAUCUACCCCACUGAAGCUUGGGAAAACAUCGUAUCUCCGGCUGCAAGAAGAAGAAGCCGCCGCCAUGGAAUAUGAUGAGGAGAAGAUAAGUACAGUAAAUCGAAUACACAGUGAUUAUUGAUUAGAGUGAUUACUGUGAGGCCGGUCCUUAAGGGUGGGAUGCGCAAGGAAACUUCUUAUUUUUUGCCCAUAGGCCAUAAAUAUAAAAAUGUAGCGAAAUGUUUGUAAUGAGGUUCGAACCAAGGCCAAUGAAGCAUUUAAAACCUGAUUUCAAGUAUUCAACCGCUCAACUACAAGUUAUGAUGCCUCUUAAAUCAAUAUUAGAUUUAUUUUGGUGUCCAAGGUCUUUGCUUAUUGUAAAAAGGACAGCUUAUCGUAAACAUGUUGAGUGGGGAAUUCAGUCUUUGUUUCCCUAUACUUACAUGCAUAGAAACUAGGAGAAUUUGUAAGUAUAUCAAUUAUGAGGAUUUUAAUUCACAUAAUAAUAUAGUGAAAACAUUAACUAUCUAGUUUGUUAAAAAAAAAACUCUUUUAGCUUUCUAGAGUUGUGUGGUGUGGUGUGGAUGGACAGUGGAGUGAAGAUUUCUAGAAACUCUCUGCGUUUUGUGUUGAGUUCUCCUCAUUUUCUCAACUCCAUCCCCUUCAAGUACCUUGACACGUACAAUUCCUGAAACAACAACACAAAAAUCUAUGUGAAUUCAGCUCUCACGAUCAUCUAUCAAAUCACUUUAUCAGUAAUUUACAUUUUAAAGUUAUAUCAUGUUCUGGACUAACAAUGAAAACCAUUUUAUGUGAUAUUUGAAUCCAUAUGCUGGUGGCAAAGAAGAACAGAGCAUUUGUAUUAUGUCACACAAAUUCAGCAAUCAAGUGAAUGGAGAGUUUAUAAGGGAUGUAAGAUGAGAUUUUACCUCAGGCAAAGAGGUUUCACGAUUGCAGCUUGGCUACUUCCCAUAAGUCUUCACUGCCUCGUAGUUACUCAAUGUCCUUUAUGUUCCUAGGAAUCACAAGGUCGUUGUAAGACGGCAAGAACGAAAAAAGAGUGGAAUCGACUGAUGGUGUAUUAUAUUUUUAUUUAUUAUUAUUAGGUCAUUGGUGCAAAUAUCUGAAGCAAACCUGCACAAACCAAUUCAGCUAAAAUAAGCACCAGAGAAAUUAGCUUUCACAUCCUAAAUGUGACAAUGACUAGCUCACUUGACCUCAGGGUCGUGAUUGAGUUUGGUGGUUGUGGCCGGUGAGUAGGACGGGUGGAAGCUGGUUUUGUAUGUAUGGGGCAGUGGUGGUGCUGAGUUAUGUUGUAAUCACUGUUUUUUACUGUGAGUGUAGGAAACGCCAUGGUAGCAGUGAUGCAUUUAAUGCUGAUGAGGUUGCUAUUUAAAAAUUUAGUUCCAACACUUUUUUGUUGUUGAUAAUUCUCUUGUGAAAUACAUUUUUCUUUACCGAAUUUAUUCAUUGAUUUAAAGAGAGAAAAAUAACCUUUGGUAACAUACACGUAGAGAGAUAUGUGUGUUUCAAAAGACAAGACUGUUAUAUUUACAUCUUUUCAGGAAAGCGAAUUUUUCAAAGAAGCAAAACAGAGAGAAGUAAGAACAGAGUGGUUCUGCUGUUCUGGACAUGGAACCAUAAAAGUUUUCUAGUUGUCAGUGCUCCAUCAUCUGCAGGAGAAAAUGGCUUGUGUGAAAAACUAAGAAAUCGUCUUGUCAUUACCAGUAUAGUCAUGGUCGAUCCCAUGUUCAUUAUAAAACAGAGUUGUAAUACGUUUCAGGUUACCUUAACAAUGUGAUAAGCUGUAGAGACGGCUAAGGAUCCAGGAAAGGAAUCUUAACAAUGUGAUGGUGUGAAUUCAGUCAAGGCAGAUCUUAACUGUUCAGGGUCAGCAGUGAAAGGUGUCGUCCCCAUCAGACCAUACGUUUUAUUUAGGCCCUUGAUGCAAAGAUCUGAAGCAAACCAAUUCAGUCAAGAACAGCCCCAGAGAAUGAGCUUCCCAUCCUAGAUGUUCUAGUGAGUAGUUCAGGCCUACAACUUUCACUCUUCUCGAUAUAAUUAAAGAGUGCAGCGGCAUAGGGGAACAGCAGCGACAUAUUUUCUCAUCGACGUAGGAUAGCUGGAUGAUACUUCAUGGUUUGGAAGUGGACCAGACAAUGUCUCCUGUAGAAAGUUUAAAAGCUCUUUCCUUCACCCGAAGGAUUGUUCCUUAUGCUGGUUACAUCUUUGGCCGAAGUUAGGCCAAAAACGCUUCUGCCUUUUGGCUAUUGAAUCAGCGGAUAUGCAAAUGUUGCUGAUUCUUGUUGUUUUCUGUACCCAAAGUCUGAUUUAUUCAUUGCUAAUAAAGAGAAAAACAACCUUUACUAACAUAAACAUUGAGAUCUAUGUUUUAAAAAGGCAAGACUAUUUUGGGUAGUACCUGCACUCAAGCAGGUACGCUCCCAAAUUCAAUGUCUUUCUUAAAAAUAGAAUAUGUUUUUACAAAACAAAACAAUGCCAAAGAUGUUUUUCCAGAAUAUGCUAAAGUAUGGCUUUCUGAAACAUUUAUUCUUUCAGGAAAAGUGAAAUGUUCAAAACAAACGCAGAGCUGGAUAAUGUAACGGACUUUGGUUCUCCUAAAGAUCUUCAUCAUCUGCAGUUAAUUAUCAUUAUCAUUAUAGUCAUAGUCGAUCCCAAGUUAUCCUAAAACAGAGUAAAACAGAAUGAUAAGAUGCUUCAGUUACCAGAAUCAGUAGACAAGAUAGGAAUUUCUUCAUCUUGUUCUUCAGUUAUCAUGUAAUCAACACACAAAGCUUCCCCCUCUAGAGAUGUUGAUGAUGAUGCUUCUCCCUGCCCUAACGAAAGCUCCAUAUUUAGAGCGGCCAAUCCUGAGUCCGCUACAAUUUGGCCAUAGGGUAAGUUGAUAUAUUCUUCAGAUGUCCCCGAUGUCAUCUGCAUUAUAAAUCAAACGAUCGAUUCUAUUAAAUAGUCUGUCCCUAUGGUGUUUCGAUCCUGAAAAAUCAAACCAAAAGUCAAAAGAUAGCUUUAUAAUUUUCAGCUCUAAUCAAAAGUCAAAAGAUACCCCCAUCCGCUUCUCGCUUCUCGUAGUCUGUUGGUUGUACUCUGUUUCUUGAUAGACAUACAAGAGUCGUACACCGCAUUCUUUGAUCCUAUUGGAGCAACAAAAUUUAAACUCCAUUCAGACCAGAUCUUGAAGGAACAGAAAAACAGAUGAUCCGUCUUACAAAACUGCAGGUCUGCAUCUUCAAAAAAUGAUUUCUGAUACUGUUUGCCAUUGAAGCCAACAUUUACCUUCAAGGAUGGAUAAAAACCCUUGCCCUCGGAGGGAGGUUCAACCACGACGCAAGCCUUAAAUGGAAAGAAGUAUUGAGAAAGAGAGCUCUGAGGUAAAGUGACAGUUAGGGAAUCUCCAUAAGCUCGAUACGUGAAAUACUUAGGGAUUUCUCCACCUGGUAAGGCCACAUGCUUGAAGCAUGAUCGUAGGAUAAGUUCUCGCGCAUCUCUUUCCAAUUUGAAGCAAUUGCAGAAGCUAAAGGAUUCCCUACGUAAGCGCCAAUCUACGACGUAGUUCUUAUAAUCAUCAUCAUACAACGCAUCCCAGAAACGUUCACAUGUAUAUUCAAUGUUUUCAGAUAAUGGUACACAAGAAACGUGAUCUUCCAUUGUCGCUACCACAGUUGCAUCACUCAACGCCUUGAUGACACCUCUACAGUCUGUAAAGUCGGCGAACAUUAGACUUCUCAGUCUGAAAAUGUUUGGGGAGAUGUUUUUCAACCUCUGGCAACAAUACAUCAGUAGUACACGGAGCCUCGUGAAAUCCUCAAUGCAGCAGGGAACUUCUCCAAUGGCGGUGUUUUCCAGAUAGAGCCAUACAAUAUUAGUUGAAAUCAGAGGAAAAGUUCUCAAACUUGAGCAACCACUGAGAUCGAGGAUACCCAGAGAUGACAAGUUGACAUCGGUUGGAAGAACCUCCAGCCCUGUGCAUCUUUUCAUGUACAAACGUCUCAAAUUUUGAAGAUUCCCAAUUGUAGAAGGAAGUGUCACCAAACUUUUGCAGUUGUUGAGUAUCAAAGACUCGAGCUUGGUGGCCUUUGAAAGAUCUAGAAUUUCUUCAAUGGCGGUGUUUUCCAGAUAGAGCCAUUUGAUACUCUUUGAAAUCAGAGGAAAAGUUCUCAAACUUGAGCAACCACUGAGAUCGAGGGUUUCGAGAGAUGACAAGUUGACAUCGGUUGGAAGAACCUCCAGCCCUGUGCAUUCUUUCAUUUCCAACCUCACCAAUUUUUGGAGAUUCCCAAUAGUAGAAGGAAGUGUCACCAAACUUUUGCAGUUGUUGAGAUAUAAAUGCUUCAGAUUGGUGGCCUUUGAAAGAUCUGGAAUUUCUGUCAGGUUUUCAGAUUCUGACAGAUCCAUCUCUUCGAGACUUCCAAGCGACUGAAAAAAACAUUAUCGAUGAUAAUCAUUUUAAUUUUAUACCUAUAUAUGUUUAAAAUUAUAAUUAAACAUUAUUACGUAUGUAUGUAAGACAUAACCGUGGAUCGACCACAAGCCAUAAAAACAAAUUUGGGUAUACUUAAUUAGUUAUAUAACAGAAGGUAAACAAAAAUCAGCAUAGCAUUAACAAUGUACCUGGAUGCCUUCCCAUAGCUUCUCAUGCUUGUAGCACCUCACAUUGAGAAAAACGAGAUAUUCUGGGCGAAAUUCACAAGGCAUACAUCUCAUAAGGCAGUCGAGAUAAUCUAGUCCAGCAGGGAGAUUCUUGUUCCAGAAACAAUCUUCUACCACGAUCUCAUUUCUCCCUUCCGGAAAGUCAACGUCUGAACAUCCCAUUUUGAUUGCUGGGAAAUUUCUCAAAUUCGGGCAUCCAGUGAGAUUGAGGUACUCGAGAGAUUCCAAGUUGAGAUCGGUUGGAAAACUCUCUAGCUUUUUGCAAUCACUAAUAUCUAAAUAGAUAAGUUUAAUGGCAUUCUGCAUCGAGGAAGGAAAUGUCACCAAGGAUUCGCAUUUACAAAUAUCUACUUCCUCGAGGUUUAUGGCUAAAGAAAGAUCUGGAAUCUCUUUCAAAUAUUUGGAACCACGCAGAAACAUCUGCUUGAGUCUUCCAAGUGGCUAAUAACAAAAUAGGGGAAAAGAGAGUACACACGUUAGUGAACAUUUUAAACAGAUUCAUUUUAGUUUUUCUAACAGAUUUAUGUUUAGAAAUUGAUCACUAAUAGAAUUAGUACCUGAGUUCCAUCCCACAGCUUCUCAAGGUCACUAUUCUCCAUUCUGAGUUUAACCAGAUACUCAACCUUAAAAUUAGAAUGCAAACGCUUCAAUGGACAAUUAUUCCACAAUAGCAAUCUGAGUUUACUAGGGAAAUAAACGAUGCCCUGAGUGCCUUCCAUACGUGAGCAAUCAACUGAUAGAUAUUCGAGAUUACACAUGCCUUCUAAUGAUUUUAAAUCUAUUAAUAGCACCCCCGAACAAUAUAACGUCCUCAGUUUAAUGGCAUUCUGAAUCGAGGAAGGAAGUGUCACCAAAGAUUCGCAUUCAGAAAGAUUUAAUUCCUCGAGGUUUAUGGCUAAAGAAAGAUCUGGAAUUUCUUUAAAAUAUUUGGAAUACCACAAAUUCAUCUUCUUGAGACUUCCAAGGGGCUGAAAACAACAUAUGGAAAAAGAGAAUACACACGUUCACAAUUUUUUUAAAACAGAUUCAUUUGAAGCUUUUCUAACAUAUAUAUGUUCAUAAAUAUACCACAGUUCUAUUCUAAAAACUGACAACUAAUAAAAUUUAUAAUUCGUACCAGAGUUCCUUCCCACAGUUUCUCAAGCUUACUAUUCUUCAUUAUGAGUUUAACUAGAUACUCCGCCCUAAAAGUAGAUGGCAAAGACUUCAACGGACAAUAAACCCAUUCUAGCAAUCUGAGUUUAAGGGGCAAAUAAACGAGGCUCUGAGGUAGAUCCCCAUCUGACCAAUAACCAAUUUCUAGAUAUUGGAGAUUACGCAUGCCUUUGAAUAAUUUUUCAUCUAUUAAGAACGACCUUGUCGUAAGAUAUCCCGGGUGUGGCAAACGUAUUCCAAGAAGAAUUUCUGUCCCCUGAAAAAAAAUCCGAAGAAAACUAAUAUAAUCUUAACAAUCGCAACCUUUUUUUAUUUUUCUGACACAUCAAAGCUACGUUUUAAUUACGCAUGAGGCAACAAUUGCUUAAGUUUAUCAAUCCCCAAAUUACGAUUAUACUAGAUAUUGACCCGCGGUGUACCGCGGGUGGAUAUGUUCAUAGAAAAGUUAUACAUAUUUUUUAUACGAAUUAUUAUUUUUAUAUAAAUAAUAUUUUCUUAACACAUAAUUUUUAUUUAUGUAAAUCUUGGAUAAUUCAUGUUUUAUGUUCUCAUAUUUGUUAGUUUAAUAUUAAAAUUCAGUAUUUGUUUUUUUGGUUUGGGUUUUUUAGAGAUAAUAAAGAUCUAAAAUUCAUGUUUGGGGUCGAUAUUUUUAUCAGAAAAUUAAAUAUUUUUAUUUUAAUUAAUAUUAUUUAUAUAUAUAAUAUAUUCAAGAAGUACAUCAAAGGCCUAUAUUUUUAUUAAAUAAAAAAUAAUAUUUUUGUCUUUAAAAUGAUCUAUAGAUAUAUGCUAUUGUUUUUUUAUGUAUGAUACUAUGAUACACCUCUGUAUGAUUUUUAUAACUAAUUUUUUUUAAAAAAAUUAAAAUUUUUUUUAGUGUUUAAAAUUGUAUAAUUGUAUUUUGAUUGUUAAUUUUAGGAUUUCAUCCAUAGUAUAUCAUCCCGUAUCAAUAUCGAUCCAAACUCAUCCCACCAUAUAACCUCGUCCCGUGAAAUUAAAACUUCAUAAAAUUUUAAAAUCAUUAAUAUUUUAAAAAAAUUUAUAGACUUUAACUUUUAAAAAAGUUUAAAAAUUUGUAAUACUUAACUUUUAAUAAAGUUUCAAAAUAUAUAAUAUUUUAAAACUUUAAAACUUUUACUUAUUUAAAAUAAAGAACCAAAGUAAAACGAAAGCUCCUGCUCUUUCGUUUUCAGAAUCACUUUGGUCUUUUUUAUAGUAUAACUCUUAACGAUUUCCUCAUUUUUAAGCAAUGUGAGACCUUUAAAACUUAUUUUUUUUCAUCGAUGGAGUAUUAUAUGUUUGUUUUAAGAAAUUUAAAUUUCAUCAGAUGCAAAAAAAAUCUAAUAUUUUAUUAACUAUAUGUAUUUUAUAUAUAAAGUAAAAAAAAAUAGAUAUAAAAACAAAUAUAGUGACAGAAAAAUUAUAUAUUUAUAUUUAAUGUCGAUAUAUAGAUUUUAGAAAAUUAGCCUUAAUCGAAUAUAGUUCAAUAAAGAAAGAUUUAGUUAAGGAUAAAAAUUUAGGAAAGAGUUAAUUCAACUAAUUAAUGCAAUUAAGCUAAUUGUAAUUUUUUAGUUAUAAAGUAUUUGAUUGAGAUUAAAUUUGUAAGGACUAAUAUUGAAAAUAGUAAAUAGGUGAGGGAUUUUUGGCCAAAAACCCUACCAAAAAUGUAUAUGUAGAUUGACAUAAAGUCAUGCAUUACAACGUUUAAGGAGAUGCGAAAAACUUACAGUUUUCUCGGCCAAUACUUCUUGAAUAUCCUCAAAAUUUGUCAGAAAUUGACGUUUUCCAGGAUUACCCUUGGACUUUGCACGAUCAAUUUCUCUACCCAAUUUCUCUAGCAAAUUGUGCAUCUCUAUAUCUCCAUCCGGUGUAAUACGUAUGAGGGACUUCUCAACCAACAUUGUAAGCCCAACAUCAUCUUCAAGUAAUUCUUUGACGUUACUGACUUUAAAACCAUUGAAGAAACAUGCAAUGCACUUAAAUAACUCUCUAUUUUUUUUAUUUAACCUAUCGUAGCAGACUCUUAGUGUUUCCUCAAUUUUAUCAUCUGAGUCAUUUCGAAGCCUAGGCAUCAUCUUCACCCACUCAUCUUUGUCCCUUCCUUUUAGAGAUGAACCCAAGACACUGAGACCCAAAGGAAGACUACCAGCAAGCUCGGCAACUUCAAAUGCUAGUGCCUUAAAAUCAUCAGGUGGAGAGUCUUUCCCAAAAGCAUAUUGGGAUAUCAUCUGAAGAGCAAGACCUUGAGAUGGCAGCUUCACCUCAUAUACAAGGUCAAUCUCAUGAGCCUUGAGAAGUUGCCUAUCUUGAGUGAUCACAAUUAUUCUGCUUCCAGAUCCAAACCAUUCAGCUUUUCCCACUAAGGUCUUAAGAAACUCUAGAUUAUCCACAUCAUCAAGAAGGAUAAGAACUUUUUUGUGCUU